CCUACGGUCGGCAGCAGUCGAGAAUCAUUCACAAUGGGGGAAACCCUGAUGGUGCGACGCCGCGUGGGGGAAUGAAGGUCUUCGGAUUGUAAACCCCUGUCAUGUGGGAGCAAAUUAAAAAGAUAGUACCACAAGAGGAAGAGACGGCUAACUCUGUGCCAGCAGCCGCGGUAAUACAGAGGUCUCAAGCGUUGUUCGGAAUCACUGGGCGUAAAGCGUGCGUAGGCUGUUUCGUAAGUCGUGUGUGAAAGGCGCGGGCUCAACCCGCGGACGGCACAUGAUACUGCGAGACUAGAGUAAUGGAGGGGGAACCGGAAUUCUCGGUGUAGCAGGGAAAUGCGUAGAUAUCGAGAGGAACACUCGUGGCGAAGGCGGGUUCCUGGACAUUAACUGACGCUGAGGCACGAAGGCCAGGGGAGCGAAAGGGAUUAGAUACCCCGGUAGUC
RNAcentral lists this ribosomal RNA (446 nucleotides) under uncultured bacterium. Its description in RNAcentral is "partial 16S ribosomal RNA". It matches the Rfam family "Bacterial small subunit ribosomal RNA", at positions 338 to 795 of the family's 1533-position model. The record is from RNAcentral.